Molecule: long non-coding RNA, 2151 nt
Organism: Paramisgurnus dabryanus
Lineage: Eukaryota; Metazoa; Chordata; Actinopteri; Cypriniformes; Cobitidae
Source: RefSeq, a predicted model, not a curated record
GCCUGCACUCAACGUUGCGUUAAUUCAGUAGAGUGUAACCUCAAUCGGUUUUUGCAGCUUCUGGGUGUCGUGUCGAACGAUCGCAGAACGAUUUUUUGUUCUUUUCCAACUCGAUUUUUAACUCCCUAGACUAGUAGGAUGUUCCAACGGGUGAAGCAACAGUGCUGACGGCAGAGUUUCAGUGUCAAUUUUUCAUGCCAUGAUCACUGGGGCGGAAACCAUUAUGACGUUGCCUUGGACAUCAAACUAAACCAUCUCAUUCUGGCUUUUUUCUAACAUCGAAAUCUCAGAAGGCCAGGACUAAGAUGGACGCAGCCUCCACAUGCAACCUUGCAUUUGAGGAACACCCAUAGAACGGUCAACUUACCCCAUACUCUAACCUGAAUGCAGGGAUCAUAAAACUUUAUCUUUUACCUUAAUUGUUAGAUGGGUGUUGAUACCAAACUUUUUUGUCUCGUCUACCCAGGAGAAAGUCAUGGGUUCUGCUGCUGAGUGUCUUUUAUUCUGCUUACCUGACUCAUGCAGAAUUCUGGCUUGAUGUUUGGUCCACCUGUUAGCUGGCUCUGGUGCUUGGUAGUCUUCUCAAACCUCUGAAUCAAGGCCACCAUGAGAGGCCUUCUGAAGACCAUCAUUACGCUUCAGAUCCAGUUGUCUUAACUAUGAGCCUACCACAAUCCCUGUGCACCAGCUAUGGAAAGUGCAGACCAAACUUCUACCUCCACCUAUAGAACUGAACUGGAGUCUGUGAACUAAUGCUGUGUUCGAGACAACUGGAACAGCAAACAAAGUUGAGUAUCCGACCUCUCAACUUGUGACUGAUCGAUCAGCACCAACCUCAACGAGAUGCAUCAUUUGACAUUGCAGACAAGUUGGUGGCUAGCCUUUCACAGCCUUACAUGAACCGCAAACAAACUUUAAACUAUUUUUACAGCACAUAAUAUUUAUGAACAUGAAUGUUAAAUUAUCCAGUAACCAUUUUCUGCCAUAAUUGGCACAAGAGCACAAACUUCUCCUGGCGUCUCAUUAUGUGGUAAACACGCAAAUGUGAUAUGUGAUUGACUGGAAUGCAUUGAGGUCGGUGGUAGGAUAUUUAAUGACAUAACAUCAGAAAUCCGAAUUGUAACACUGCGCAAUAUUUCACAUAAUUGUCAUGACCUGAUUAUCCUCCCAUGUUUUUAACACAACCAUUGAUUGGUCACACGGAAGCAGAGACUUUGUCCUUUGUAUCUCUCAAAAAAAAGAAAAAAAAAAGAAUUCUAUAUUUAAUGUUAAAAAACACUUACAGUAGACUGUGUUAGAUAACUGUGCUUUUGGAAGUCAUUUCUGAUAACCGCACACCUAACUUGUCUAAUGUCUUAAAAAUAGGCACCAGAGCAAUGUUUGUGGUAACCGUGGUAUAAGAGGAAUAAUUGACUCCGGUCCUUUGAAUUAUUUGAAAAUAAAGCACACCCGCGGUGUAACGGCACUCUGCUUCGCGUCGUGCCGCAUUGCACCUUGGGUGUGCAUUAUUUUCUUAUAAUUCAAUGGCCCGUCGUCAAUUAUUCCUUACAUAUUGAAGGUUGACAGGUUUGUUUGCAUGUAAUUGCAGUAUUAUUAAUUUGGGGUUGAUAGUCCAAUGUUGAUUUGAGAGAAAUUUUUUUUUUCUUUUUAGAUCCUUUCUCUUUUUAAUGCAGCACUUAAGGAUGAACCACCCUGAUCUACUAAGAUGCACAGAUUCAACUCUGGCCCAGCAUCAUCCCCACACCUCAUCUGCCAUCAGUUUAAUUUAAUGUCUGUCAAUUGCAAAUGCUAUUUAUUUCAGUUAUAUUACAACUUAAUGUUAACUUUAAUUGAGACUAGUAUUGUGUAAAGCUGGGGUUUCCAAACUUUUCAUUUCAAAACCUAUUAGACAAGUGUAAUCUAUUUUAGACCCACUAAAAUAUUUUUACAUAUACAUUUUUUUAAUGGGCUAAAACACAUUUGUUCUCUUUCAGUGGAGUCAUUUUAUUUUCAUAAUAUUUCAUAAUGUAAAGCAGUGGUUCUUAACGUUAUUCCUCGAGGCCCACUGCUCUGCACAUUUUGUAUGUCUCUUUUAUCUGACAGACUCAGUUCAGUUCAUUGAGAUCUCUUCUAAUGAGCUGAUGAUUUGAAUCAGGUGUGUUAAAUAAGGGA